This is a long non-coding RNA of Cryptotermes secundus, 458 nucleotides long. RefSeq lists it as uncharacterized. Lineage: Eukaryota; Metazoa; Arthropoda; Insecta; Blattodea; Kalotermitidae. The record is from RefSeq and is a predicted model, not a curated record. The transcript is spliced from 3 exons.
AGGCGCUGCGUUCAGUUGCCGGUUGCUGAUAGAAGCCGCUGCAUCUCGGGACAGUUGCUUCAAUACACAAAUCGUAAGCAGUUUCGCAGUGUGCUGGAUCGACAUGUUUAAUCGAAAUACAUGUUUAAGUUUCGAUGAAGAUAGUGGCGCCAUUUGCUUUGAGGUGUAAUAGAGACUUUCAAAUCGCACAUCAAUUUUAAAAUUAUGCGGUCCCACUGCCAACAGUUGCAUCAAGGAUAGAAGAACACAUUCUAAAUGGAGGGAGAGUACUUCAACGAAUAUCAGUUUACAGACCCGAGCUGUGGAGCCUCCGAAACCUGUACAUGUUACACGCAAAUUUUGUUUCAUACGUGAACCACAUCAAUCGGCAGAGUCAGGGAACAAGUUUCAGUUCGCCUUUAAGUUCCAGCGCUCGACUAAACCCCACUGGAGUCGGAUGAAUAGACCUCAUCUUGGAA